Molecule: ribosomal RNA, 494 nt
Filed under: uncultured bacterium
Lineage: Bacteria
Description: partial 16S ribosomal RNA
Rfam family: Bacterial small subunit ribosomal RNA
Source: RNAcentral
GACGAACGCUGGCGGCGUGCUUAACACAUGCAAGUCGAACGGUGGAGCGCCUUCCGUUUUGGUGGGUGUGGAUGAGUGGCGAACGGGUGAGUAACACGUGAGUAACCUGCCCCCUUCUUCUGGCUAACCGCGUGAAAGUGUGGCUAAUACGGGAUAGUCUGGGUCUGUCGCAUGUUGGGUCUGGGCGAGAUAUUGUUUCGGUGGGGGAUGGGCUCGCGGCUUAUCAGCUUGUUGGUGGGGUGAUGGCCUACCGAGGCGGUGACGGGUGGGCGGCCUGGGAGGGUCGAUCGUCACACUGGGACGGAGACACGGACCAGACUCCUGCGGGAGGCAGCAGUGAGUAUUAUUGCACAGUGGGCGGAAGGCUGAUGCCGCGCCGCCGCGGUGGGGAUGGUGGUCUUCUGGUUGUGAACCUCUUGCGCCAGUGAAGCAGGCCUGCCUCGUGUGUGGGUGGGUUGACGGUAGCUGGAUAAGAAGCACCGGCUAACUACGUG